Molecule: long non-coding RNA, 242 nt
Filed under: Panax ginseng (ginseng)
Lineage: Eukaryota; Viridiplantae; Streptophyta; Magnoliopsida; Apiales; Araliaceae
Description: long non-coding RNA (PGIN_LNC008651)
Source: RNAcentral
UUCAAUAUCAUUAAGCUGAAAUAUUGAUCUGAAGUUUUUAUCAAAUUUGGAACUUUUGGUGUCGGAGUUACUAUUCACGUAUACGACACUAUUCACGUAUACGGUACUAUUCACGAAUACGGCACUAUUCAUCGAAAAAUAAAAAUUUUUCUUUUCGUCCAAAAUAUCUAUUCUGGAUACUAGCUUUGAUUGUAUCCAUGUUUUGAUCAUUCUUGAAGUUUACACCACUAUGAUUAUUUUUG